RNAcentral lists this ribosomal RNA (361 nucleotides) under Clostridioides difficile. Its description in RNAcentral is "bacterial LSU rRNA". It matches the Rfam family "Bacterial large subunit ribosomal RNA", at positions 534 to 894 of the family's 2925-position model. The record is from RNAcentral. Lineage: Bacteria; Bacillati; Bacillota; Clostridia; Peptostreptococcales; Peptostreptococcaceae.
GGGAGUGAAAUAGAACCUGAAACCCUGCACUUACAAGCUGUGGAAGCACAUUUCUUGUGUGACCGCGUACUUUUUGUAGAACGGGCCAACGAGUUACGUUAAGUAGCAAGGUUAAGCACUUAAGGUGUGGAGCCGUAGCGAAAGCGAGUUUUAACUGAGCGUUCAGUUACUUGACGUAGACCCGAAACCGGGCGACCUACCCAUGAGCAGGAUGAAGCGAAAGUAAAAUUUCGUGGAGGUCCGAACCCACGAGCGUUGAAAAGCUCGGGGAUGACUUGUGGGUAGCGGUGAAAUUCCAAUCGAGCCCGGAGAUAGCUGGUUCUCCCCGAAAUAGCUUUAGGGCUAGCCUCAAGGUGAGAGA